CUUCACAAAGCUGUCGGCGUCCGGGAAGCCUGGCAGCACCAUCUCUCCGUCGGAUUUGGUUGCGCUGGUCGCCGACAGGACCCUGGGCUCCCGGGUACUGGGUGGCGCCAUUUUUUCAGCCUGCACGGCUCGUCUCGCGAGAGCUUGUCGGCCGAGGAGACGGGACGCGUGCGCACCACGCAUGCGCCAGGUAAGCUCCUGAAGAAAGCGUCUAGCUCCAACUGUGCUUCCUCCCUCCAGUACCCUCUGAACUCCUCCAAGCAGACGUUGUUUCCUGCAGACAUCGCUGGAACCAUUCUGGUUAACACAGAGUGGGAACUCAGUACACAUUUGUGAAGUGAACUCCUGGAAGAGCUCUUGUGAGGGAGGCACCGAAUUAUCAGGCAGCUCAAGAGAUAGAUUCACUCUCCUGAAAUUAGAGAUGGGAUGCCCUUAAUACAAUUCAUUCCACCCAUUAAGUCUUCAAUAAAUGUUCAGCAUAUCCAGUUAA
This 490-nucleotide long non-coding RNA is filed under the name Homo sapiens (human). RNAcentral describes it as "HSALNT0290272". The record is from RNAcentral. Lineage: Eukaryota; Metazoa; Chordata; Mammalia; Primates; Hominidae.